UGCAGACACGAUCAGGGCUUUGUGUGGAA
Molecule: non-coding RNA, 29 nt
Filed under: Homo sapiens (human)
Lineage: Eukaryota; Metazoa; Chordata; Mammalia; Primates; Hominidae
Source: RNAcentral